RNAcentral lists this ribosomal RNA (251 nucleotides) under uncultured prokaryote. RNAcentral's name for it is "partial 16S rRNA". It matches the Rfam family "Bacterial small subunit ribosomal RNA", at positions 525 to 775 of the family's 1533-position model. The record is from RNAcentral.
ACGUAGGGGGCAAGCGUUGUCCGGAAUUACUGGGCGUAAAGGGUGCGUAGGCGGUUUUUUAAGUCAGAUGUGAAAUACCCGGGCUUAACCUGGGGGGUGCCUCUGAUACUGGGGAACUUGAGUGCAGGAGAGGAAAGUGGAUUUCCUAGUGUAGCGGUGAAAUGCGUAGAUAGUAGGAGGAACACCAGUGGCGAAGGCGACUUUCUGGACUGUAACUGACGCUGAGGCACGAAAGCGAGGGGAGCAAACAG